Molecule: transfer RNA, 63 nt
Filed under: Apharyngostrigea pipientis
Lineage: Eukaryota; Metazoa; Platyhelminthes; Trematoda; Diplostomida; Strigeidae
Description: tRNA-Val
Source: RNAcentral
GGCAAGGUAGUUUAAUUUAAAAAUAUUUGUUUUACACGCAGAAGAUGAGGUUUUCUAUUGUCA